This 272-nucleotide unclassified non-coding RNA is filed under the name Curvularia intermedia. Its description in RNAcentral is "partial internal transcribed spacer region". The stretch from base 1 to 46 matches the Rfam family "Eukaryotic small subunit ribosomal RNA", at positions 1786 to 1831 of the family's 1831-position model. The record is from RNAcentral. Lineage: Eukaryota; Fungi; Ascomycota; Dothideomycetes; Pleosporales; Pleosporaceae. RNAcentral also lists the same sequence under 1 other name.
AAGUCGUAACAAGGUCUCCGUAGGUGAACCUGCGGAGGGAUCAUUACACAAAAAAAUAUGAAGGCUGCACGCGGCUGUGUCUCUUUCGGGGGGCCAGCUUUGCGGAGGCUGAAAUAUUUUUCACCCAUGUCUUUUGCGCACUUGUUGUUUCCUGGGCGGGUUUCGCCCGCCACCAGGACCACACCAUAAACCUUUUUUAUGCAGUUGCAAUCAGCGUCAGUAUAACAAAUGUAAAUCAUUUACAACUUUCAACAACGGAUCUCUUGGUUCUG